CGGGUGAGUAACGCGUGAGGAACCUGCCUCAAAGAGGGGACGAACAGUUGGAAACGACUGCUAAUACCGCAUAAGCCCACGGCUCGGCAUCGAGCAGAGGGAAAAGGAGUGAUCCGCUUUGAGAUGGCCUCGCGUCCGAUUAGCUAGUUGGUGAGGUAACGGCCCACCAAGGCGACGAUCGGUAGCCGGACUGAGAGGUUGAACGGCCACAUUGGGACUGAGACACGGCCCAG
This 233-nucleotide ribosomal RNA is filed under the name uncultured bacterium. RNAcentral describes it as "partial 16S ribosomal RNA". It matches the Rfam family "Bacterial small subunit ribosomal RNA", at positions 103 to 334 of the family's 1533-position model. The record is from RNAcentral.